UACGAAGGGUGCAAGCGUUAUUCAGAAUGAUUGGGCGUAAAGGGUGCGCAGGCGGUAAAUUAAGUCAACUGUUCAAUUUCCCGGCCUAACUGGGAGUCAGCAGUAGAUACUGGUUUACUAGAGAAUGAAAGAGAGAAGUGGAAUUCUCGGAGUAGCGGUAAAAUGCGUAGAUCUCGAGAGGAACGUCGAUGGCGAAGGCAGCUUCUUGGUUCAUUUCUGACGCUCAUGCACGAAAGCGUGGGGAGCAAACAGG
RNAcentral lists this ribosomal RNA (253 nucleotides) under uncultured bacterium. RNAcentral describes it as "partial 16S ribosomal RNA". It matches the Rfam family "Bacterial small subunit ribosomal RNA", at positions 524 to 776 of the family's 1533-position model. The record is from RNAcentral.